AUCGGUGUAUCUACAAUUUAGCAUUUCAGUGAAGAAGUGAAUGUAAAAAAAAUCAGCCACGUUGGGGUUGGGGUGGAAACUUCAACUACAGCUAAGGAAGUAGUUUGUUUUGUGUCUACAUUAUUGCGAGUGAUAUUGACCAUUGUGUUGAUAAAACAUUGAAGUAAAGUUGGUGGAGCAAUAUAUCCAUAGUUUGCCUCUCCAAUGGCUUCAGGGGGCUUUUGCCUGAGUGAGGUGGGCAGAGGGAAACUAAACACAUAAGAAGUAUACCUUCAUAAUAGAUUUCUAAACAUUCUCACAGAGCAGAAAGCAUCAACCCUUAUCAGUUCAAUCUUGAAAUGUUUUCUGUCUUCACAGCUCAGGGGAGAGGUCUGAGCAGGCUGUGAGAAACCUUGGUGAACGUGGGAUUCUGGGGCCAGACAGUGACUAGUCUGUUUCCUGCCAUAAGUUAUGCCAACCUGAAACCUGCUGUAACUCGUCCCCAGUGACCACUCAGAUAGUCAAGAACAUCCAAAGUGCAAAGGUUCCCCAGUCUUGUGGUUGUCUGGACAGCGUUGGUGUAGAACUGCUGCACUGCCUAGGAAUUGUCUUCAUGAGCAGACCCAGCAACUGAAUCCUGAGCUCCUGAGUCCCAAUCCAGUGCUUUGACCACAAGACUAUUCUUCUUAUCAGAUGUCGUGUAGAGCUGAGGAAAGUGAGACCAUGGACGAGCCUGUUGUGUCGGAUUCCUGUUUAAUGAUUGUGGGGUCCAGGGUUGUAUCUCUGGCCCUAUUUGGUGGCAUUCAUCACAUCCUGGUGUCUUUGUGUUGCCACUAUGAGCAAUAGCUACUCACCAGAGCUCAUGCUGCUUCUUUCCUGACUUGGUAAGCCUCUAUGGUGCUGGGUUU
This is a long non-coding RNA of Trachemys scripta elegans, 887 nucleotides long. RefSeq lists it as uncharacterized. The record is from RefSeq and is a predicted model, not a curated record. Lineage: Eukaryota; Metazoa; Chordata; Testudines; Emydidae. The transcript has 3 exons.